GAAUAUUUGCAUUGGAUAUUAGGAAAUACUUUUUCACUGAAAGGGUUGUCCAGCAUUGUAACAGGCUGACCAGGGAAGGGGUUGAAUCACCAUCUCUGGAAGUAUGUAAAUGAUGCGUAGAUGUGGCACUGAGGGACAUGGUUGAGCGGUGGACUUGGCGGUGAUGUAUUAAUGGUUGGUCUUGAAGAUCUUAUAACUCUUUUCCAACCCUAACCCAAAUGAUUCUAUGAUUCCAUUCUGACCUAUCCACGUGCCUUUAAAAAGCAAUACCCAAGAUCCUUUCCGUAGGUAGGUCAGAACUUAGUUGUCUUGUAAGCAGUAGCAAACGUUCAGAUACCAGUAAGACCAUGCAAAGCUGUGUGUGCGUAAAAAUGUUGUUAGUUCCCAGAACUUGCUGGUACUCCUCCAGUUCCAAAGCAUGCAUACAAUCCAGCAUGUGUAGCAGCUCCCCCCAGGCCUUGUGACUGUAUCCCUGACAGAUGAAAAUGUGUUUCAUGCAGGUGGGCUUUCUAAUUGUAGCACAUUCCAGCAAGGUGCAGUGUUUGGUUCUAGUGCAGCUCUGGGGGAACUGUAGCUGCUCUGUGUGCAUUUUUCCAUGAUGCCAUCUUUGCUUUCCAUUUUGUCUCGAUUCAGUUGUAAUUAGGAUCAUCAUAGUUACCACAAUACUGCUGCUGCAGAGCUCCCCAAAAUGACUGGCCCUGUCAGGGUACCUGAGACAGUGAGCAAAGGUUGUGGGGCCGCUGUCUGCCAGCUGAGGAGAACAAACGGAGCUGCUGGGAACAAGUCAUUGUGGACUGAAUAUAGUUUGGGGUGAAAAGGCUAGCACAGGCACCCGGCUGCCGGCAUGCUCUUGGGUGGAGAGAAGCCCUGAAUCAGGGAGCACUUUAGUGCCAUGUCUUCACUUUGAGGUUUGGGUCUGGCCUUGAGGGCAUCUCAGAGCCAUGGGAGACAUUGAGGGCAUUACUGGGGCUUUUUAUGUGUGUGCUGUCAAUUCAUUAUGGAAUUCAGAAGGCAAAAGUAAAGCUUUUGGCCAAAGAAACAGCAAUUGGUGAGGAGGUGCUUACAGCUGGAGAGAACAGACAGAACAAGUAUCCAACUGGACAAAACAAGUUGUAUAUAAACAGUCUCUAAAACUGUUUACAAAGUCCAAAAGAAAUCAAAAUACAGAAGAUUUUUUUUUUCUGUCUGAGAGCAGAGGACACAGAUGUUGGUUCUUUUUCCCUUCCAUCAGUGUUGGGCAGCAGUGUUGGUGGUGACACUGUCUGUGCCUGUGGUGUUUUGGGGUGCGAGGCUCCUCAUAUUGCACAAGCACUUCCAUCAGUCAUAUAGCCAUUUCUGCAGUCUCUGCCAGGUGCAUCAGGAGAAGCAUAACAACUACAGGCACUCUCAUUUGACUUCUUUCUCUUCUGCCAUUCUCCCUGUAUCAGAGCACCAAAUCAUCCAUUGCCCUGCAGCAAUCAGUCAUUAAUAAGAACCUUGCUACUGCCAGGGCACUUCUCAAGCCACUGCAGCCAAGGUUACUUCUGGGAAAGGCAGAAAACAAGCUAGGUUUUCAGCUGCUGCAGAAAGGAAAAAAUAGCCAUUUAAAAACCUAUGUUUUUAAUUUUACCUGCUACCCAGGGCAGCACUGUAGGGCUGCAGCACUGCAGAGGGAUGCCUUGUUAGAAGCUUGUCUUGCCAGUGCUGCCAUGAUGAGUAAGUAAAAACUCAGCAAAUAGGUCCCCUUUUCCCAAAAGAGGGGACGCCCAGAGGAUGAAAAGAACUAGCAAGCAUUACAGAGUUUGGUGCAUGAAGUUACCAAUCUCUGGCCAGAGAGAGAAAUUGCUUCAGGUGGCCAGAGAAUGCUUCAUGAUUCCUCUGUUUAGCAGAAAAGGAGCCUGCUGAAGUGUCUGUGGUGUGCAAAGCAGAAAUAAACGACUAUCCCCAGGAUCGUCAAGGGAACAGAACCUGCUGCAAGGAAGCAUGGUCUGGGUUAGUUGACAAGAAGCAGAAAUACCAGCAGCAAUUGCCUCCUGCCCUGGGAUAUCCCUUCUUCUGUCAUUUGAAUCUCAGUGAAGCAGCUGGACUGUCAACACUUAUGGCAAGACCACGUAUACAGGACCACAAGUCAUGUUUCUGUGGCAAAGCGUGGGCUGGAGGAGAUCACAACAUGCUGCUGCUGGCUGAGGGAGGAGUAGGCAACAUGGAGGAGAGGGGCUAGGAUUUCUUAACCUUUACUGUUAGUUUCUCAGAAGGAAGACUGCAGGACCAGCUCCUUAGCUAGCAUAAAAAGACACAUAUCCAUGGAGCUGAACAGUGUUCAUUUGCUUCACUAGGAAAAGCACAGAAACACAGAAAUGUUGGUUGGAAGAGUCCUCUGAAGGCCCAAGGUCCGCCGGGCUCCUGCUUAGCACAGGACUAUCACACUACAUCAGAUCAGCUUUGGCAUUGUCUAGCGAAGUCUUCAAAGCCUCCAAACAUGGAGAGUGGAAAGUCUCCCUCUUGGGAGAUGUUUUCCCUAAUGUCCAUUCUCCUCUCCCAAGCUCCAGCCUGGACUUGUUGUCCCACAUUUGUCCAUUUGUUGCUUGCAGGAGGGAUUGGGCUCUGUCAGUCCCCCAUUGAGGGAGGCAUGAUUUGCAAUAGGCUCCUGUUAGAUCACCCUCCAUCCCCCUGCCUAUGGACUAAACCCACCCAGCUCCCCCAAGCUCCGCUCCUGCUGUGUGCCCUCUGCCCCAGCCAUCUCAGUACACCUCUUACUGGGCCUGCUCUCACUUAAGGGUCGAAAGCAACAUGGUAUGUUGCUGGUGGCUUCUGGAGAACAGCAGCUUCCCUCUCCCUGCCAGCUAAUGAGCCUCCUCCUGUGGCCUGCCAGGCACUUUGUCCCAUUGGCGAUGCCAGCACAUGCUGGGCUCAAACAAGGUAUGACCCGUAAUUCAUAGCAACGUGAAUACCAUCAGAGAUUUCAUUCACUGCACUGGAGAUAGUACAGUAAGCAAGCAGUUUCAAAAUCCAAUUUCAUAGACACAGAGAUUACAUUAAUCUCUUCUAAUAGCUAAACAAUUCAGUUUUCAAGAUAGGACAAAGCAUGGGAUAUUCUUGACAAAACUGGUGCUUCAAAGGUGCCUACAUCAGAUUUAAAAUCCUAACUCCUAAACUCCUAAUGAUAGAACCGAUUGUAUCUUUUCAGACAGUAGUGCUGCAAAACUUGCAUUUAAUCUCCUCUUUUUAUAACACGCUGUAGCUGCCUGAGCUUGCCUGUGGGAAGCAAAUGUAGAUUGUCUUUGCCUUCAAAUACCAUAUGAGGAAACUUACGCAGCCCUCACCAACUGAUCUUGGGGGCCUGUGGAAUGAUAAAAGCUCAAAUUAUCAAAGUACCUGUAAACUGCCUUCUGAUUUCUAGCUGGAGUACCUCCCUGAAUCUGGACCCUUUGAUUUAAGGUAGCUGCUUUCUUUCACCAUGUCUCAACAGGCAGUAAAGGGCAUAGCUUUAAUUCCUGUUGGCUCAGUUGCAUUACCUCAACAUGACUGAAAACCCCUCUUCACCUCCAGAAAUGCAGAAAUGAAUGUGGAUCUACAUUGGAAGCUUCUGCCUGUGUACUGAGUACCUUGUAAUAUACAGGGAUGUUUCCAUAUUGCCAAAAAUAUUGGUGUGAUUUGCUUUUCUUUUUGGCACUGUUUUGCUUGGAGAACCCAAAUUAUCUGUUCCGGAGAAGGCACUAUUUAUUGAGCUAGACUGCACAUUUUCAGAGAAUUUUCAGGUCUUGUGGUAUAGCUGUAUCCAUUUUGGGCUGAUUUCUAGUGCUUGUGUUGUGAUUUAGGCCACUGACAAAUAAGCUCUGGCAAAUGAUGGUGAGGUGACUGACCCACCCAGCUGUUUUUAUUGCUCUGCUGGCAAAGAUUACGGUCCCUGCAGCAGAAUUGGCAGAAGACAACAUAUGUCCAGGGCAGAGCUGCUCCAAAUGGCAUCUGAGUUGAAAUCUCCAAGGACAUGGGAUUAGACUAGACAGAAGACUGUGAACUAGAGAUAUUCAGAUGUGGUCUAUAGUGGUUUAUGCCCACCAAAAACAGCACUGCUUCUGUGCCUCAGGUCCUUACAGCUUCUACCCCGUGUGACUGUCCCCUCUUUGCACCAGAACUGGCAAUCAUCUGAUCCUAAUAGGAGAUGAUAUAGACAACUCAAGCCAGCCAAAUGAUUCACCUAGAAGGUGUGGAGGGGACUAAAGCACCACUAAUUUCUAUCAGAUUAAUCAUGAUACCUCUCUCUCAGAUAAUAGUAAAAGUGUCCUUGUGUCUCAGCUCCACUCUAGCCUUUGGUGGUAGAGUGGUAUCAAGCAACAGAGGGUGAUAAUGUCUUCAUCUGCUCAUUUGUUUUCCAACCAAACAAUAAUCUGAGGGCAGAGACUCCCCCAGAUGCUCCUGUAUGGCCAGCUAGCAAGGCCUCUGCUGCCAGGGAUAUUAUCUCUUAUCCUUUUGGGUAAUCCCCAUUCUGCCAUGGGAGUAACCUGCCGUAGUGGUGGCCCAGCUGUCAAAAAUGGAGCUGGCAUUGGCCCUUGUCUCUUUCCUCUCAUGAGUCAGAGAGUGGCUGGCCCGAGGCUGCCCUUACACCCUGGUGGAACAGCGAGCAGGAGCCACAGCAGGAGCAAGUUAGAACUGACUGACCUGAGCAAUAUUUCCAGGCUAAAACACACGAGAGUUUUCCUCUCCCUGGCCUGUUACUGACAUGGCAAAAUUCAGUGGGAAAACAACUGGGCUUUAAAUAUAUAGUGAGCCUUUCCCCACCCAUUACCACCUAACUGAUAAGCUGCUCCAGGCUAUCUUGUUUAUGAGCGUUUAAUACCUCUUAGCAUUUGUGUUUGCCUUGAAGCUACAGGCAGCUAUGUGCUGUACUGUGCUGAAUAUUCGUGCCAUAAGUACAAACACGUUUGAAGAUCUGCUUUGAAGCAAACUUGACCCUCUGCAUUCUCUCCCAAGACUCCUGAGGAAUAUUAUGCAUCACUAUAUUCAGAGCAAAGCCUUGAAGGGCAGGGAGAGAGGAUACACAUAGGAAUAGUUAGGAACAGGAACAUAUAGUCACAUAUCUAUCGCAUAAAUGCUUCCAGCAGCACUUCAGACAUCAGUUUGCAUAAACGAAUUUGCAGGACCUCAUUCCUAUAAAGCAGCUUCUGCUGCAUACAGAUCUUUUAGGCUCACUGGCCUAAGAUCAGGCUCACUAUCCAGAUUCUUGUUGCCCUCAAGAGCUAUCGCCUGCAACCCCAAUAAUUGCCCUGAACCAAAAAUCUCAGAGUAAGCAGAGAUAGUAAAACCUGAGCCAUGUGCAUGGAUGGCUCUUGUGCACUCAUAUUCCUUCUGUCAGCUGCUUAUAGGGGUUGAAAACCUUCAGAAGGCAGAUACAAGUGACAUGAAAUAGUCUGAGUUAAAAACUCGACUCUGAGUCAAAAACUCAACUCAGCAUCAAAAAUUGUGAGAUACCCCAUGAUACGGCAUGCCAUAUGUAGAGUAAUGGCGAAGCUUAAAUGGCUUCUGCCUCAGGCAGAAUGCAACAGAAAACCUGACAGGGAAAGGUAAGAUGGUAGCAGUGAAAGCAGCCAGGAUUGCGUGGUGAUUGCUGCAUGGGAGGUUGCAGCCAAGACUCUAAAAUUACUUAAACCACUAUUGUAUACUUUUGGGUUUGUUUCUUCUUUUCUUACGUUUUGGAGGAGAAGAGGGUGUGUCUGGAAGUUCAGAUGCUAGCUUGGGACUUAGGCCAUAUAUAUCCAGGUUUAUGCCUUGCCAGUGACUCCCUUCGCAGUUCCUGAGGGAGAACAGACUGCAUUGUUUGUGAGCUUCAAUCCAGGUCAAGCAGGCCGGAUCUUCCACAGAGAAGUUGCUGACUUUGGCCCCAAAAUGUCAUUGUUAAGGUAAGAAAAAUAUCCAAGUUUCUCUUAAUUUUUCCUAGUUGGUACGUUAUAAAGGCAUUCAGACCACUGUAGACAUAAGAAUUCAGGAAACAACAAUAAGCAACACAAAGAACAAAAAACAGUAGGUACUUCCUGAGAAGUUUGGAAAACUGACUCUUAAUGCCACUGAGGGAGGGUAAGUCCUAAUAGCUACAGUAGCCACAUGUCACCUGGGACCAGAGUGUGAAUGAUUCUCUUGUAAUAUUACUUGGUGAAUGUCUCAACAUCUUGAGCUCAUUGCAGAAGAGAAAAGAAAAAGCUGGCCAGUGUUAUUUUCUGGUGGCACUGUAACAUUAAUUUCUCUAACCCUCUGUGGUGGUAUCCAACUGUCUUGGAUAUCUGAGCAGGCAGGUCAAAGGAAAGCAAUGUGUAGACUUGAUUUUCGAAAACACCUUUUUCUAGUAAGUGUGAACUUAUUUUCUUUUAGGAAUAAUAUUUUUUCCUGGCACAUUGUAACAGAAAUAAUAAAAUAAACAAAAGCCUGGUAUACUUGUAAGAUGAACCUCAGAGCUAUACCAGGCAAGAAGCUGUCUCAAGGCAGCCUUUGUUUCCCCAGGGACUUGCACUCCAGCCACUCCCUGCCCUGGGCUAGUGUGCUGGGAUGCCCUGGCCUGGCCCAUCCUGGGCUCCCCCCAUUCUGUAGCUCUGAGCCCCACCACUUCCUGUCCUUGGAAAGGCAGAGGUGGUGGGGCAGGCUCCCAGCAGCUACAGAGGAGCAGAGGGUCUCCAUCAGGGUAUCUCCUUGCAGGAGAUGAAGAAGACAUCUCUGCCAUAGGGCUGCAGCAGGGGCAGUCACAGGCUUCCCUCUGCAGCCGGCAGCACUCUGCUUUUUCCCAUCGUUUAUUAUCUGAUGUCUGUUUUCGGCUGUUUUGUGCUGGCAUUUGGGACACCUCCUCCUUGUGGGCUGCCGAGGAUGGUGGCAGUGUCCUCACGCUGAGGGUAUUGGCCCCGGCCCUGGGCACAAAUCAUCCAUCCCCACUGCUCGCCUGACCCUCCCCUUGAGACCUACUUUUGCUGGGAGAAGCAAGGUAACCUCGCCACUGAAAAUAGCUGGGAUGCCGGCCAGUGGAGAUUAAUGGCAUCAUUAACGUUCCCAGUUUAUUUAUAGGCUUAAAAAUGCCUCGGACCUGCAAACUGAGCAGAGUCGUUCUGUGUAACACAGGGACUGACAGGUCUUCUGCUUCUACCUUUCCCCUUCCUACUAUUUCAUUCUGAUUGCUGGGACUGUAAAACCUCUGGAGCAGGGACUGUCUCUCAUUGUGAACCUACUCUGUAAACCUUCCUAACUGGGGGGAUGCACAGAGAUACUUUUUUUUUCCAAGAAUGCUGUAUUUGUCUGGUCUCCUUCCUCCACCAACUCCUGUGCACACUGUGUCCCAUGGCCUUCUUUGGGAAAAUUAUCUUUUUGAUGAAUUCCUGAGGCACGAGCUGAGCAGUUGUCACAGGAAUUUUCUGUGAUUUUCUGCCUUCGGUUUUAAAUUAUGAGCUCUGUAGGAGGAGCACUGAGAUUCUCAUAGCUGUGGAGAGCACCUAGGAUAUGUAGGGCCCUAGUGAGACAUGCAGAUGCAAUUAAUGAUCAUGGAGGUCUUUCAACAGGAGCCAGCAGAGGCAACCCAGCUUCCAGGUCCCCUAGGAACCUCAUGGCACUGGCAAGAAAAGAAAAAAACACUUCAGGUGUGUUGGCCCCAGAAGAGGAGUUUUCAGCACAUAAUGUGUGGCUGCACUGCCUGGCCUGUUUCCCAGCACUUAGUGAAAGGUAAAGAGAUACAUCUUAUAUAGUUGUUUCUCAUCUAAACUCCUGAGCACCUAACCAGAAAAGUCAGCACAACUUUCUCACUUACACUGAUGUCAGACUAGGGGAGUGAGUCUUGUGGCAAAAGGGACCAUCUGCAUCUCAAACUAAUUACCUGCUUUGAAAAGUGAAUAUACAAAGUGCAUUGCAGGCAGCAAAGGCAUCGCUGUGCUUUUACGAGAAAAAUCAAAAGCGCAGAAGCAUGUUUUGAAGUGAAGGCACAUUGUCAAUAAUUAUGCACGGUUUGGGUUUGUGCUGUCUUGCCACUCAUCCUUGGAUCCUACACCGAGUCCUGACUUUCUUAUGGCACAGAUAAUAACUUAAAAGAAAGAAGUCCAACAGAAUUUCCAUGAUCUAUAUCUACAGCAUCACGCAUGGAAGACAUAAUAUUUGAUGGUAAAUUUUUGCUUUGACGUUAUAGUAGAAGUUAAGAGAAAAGGUGUCAUCCUUGGCCUAGAGUUUCAUGAGUGCCACAGGCAGAUGAGCUCUUUUAAACCUUCUUCUCCUCUUCCAAAAGGAGAAACUCACAAUCUGGACUCAAUUGAACUUUAAAGCCAUAAAAUUCCAGGUUCCAAUAAAUCUUCAUUUUAUAAAAAACACAUCCAUCAUAUAUCGUAACAGAAACCAUAAAAGAAA
Molecule: long non-coding RNA, 8343 nt
Organism: Neopelma chrysocephalum (saffron-crested tyrant-manakin)
Lineage: Eukaryota; Metazoa; Chordata; Aves; Passeriformes; Pipridae
Exons: 4
Source: RefSeq, a predicted model, not a curated record